UCAGGAAAGAGCUAAUACGGUGCACCACAUUUAGCAAGCUCAAAACUUUGUCACUAGAUGAUUGGUGUGUGGAGCCUGAUUACAGCCCACUACUUUACUUUCUCCAGCGGUCACCAAGUCUCGAGAACCUCCACCUCCGACUAUCUAAGAAAUAUAAACAUGCCGAAGAAACAGACGGAAGCUACGCUCCAAUAGAACCAUUUUUGGCAUCGAAGAGUCCUAGGGCUUUCAAUAUCAAAUGCCUGCCCAAAGAUGAGCGUGUUCACAAAAUUGUGAAGGUCCUGAGUUCAUGUGGAGUAACUGCUGAGUUAAUCAUCAUCAACAAAAGAAUUUGGUCUUCCGACGGAUCAUAUUCAGAUUCAGAGCACUCAAAUUAUUCACAUUCAGAUUCAGAGCAGUCAAACUAUUCACAUUCAGAUUCAGAGCAGUCAAACUAUUCACAUUCAGAUUCAGAGCAAGAGCAAUUGGAUUAAACGCUUGGAACAUUGCCAUGAGUUUACUAUCUUGCUUCGACCUUUAGCGAAAUUUCUAGUUGUCAAG
Molecule: long non-coding RNA, 540 nt
Organism: Triticum dicoccoides
Lineage: Eukaryota; Viridiplantae; Streptophyta; Magnoliopsida; Poales; Poaceae
Exons: 3
Source: RefSeq, a predicted model, not a curated record